CUAUCAAUACCCCCUAACAAACCUAAACCACCAAAUAUUAAACCAUUUUUCCCCCUAAGUAUGGGCGACAGAAAAGGAUAUACCCAGAGCUAUAGAAAAAGUACCGCAAGGGAAUGCUGAAAAAGAACUGAAAUAAACCAGUAAAGUUAAAAAAAGCAGAGACUUAUUCUCGUACCUUUUGCAUCAUGAUUUAGUUAGUAAAAACCAAGCAAAAAGCAUUUUAGUUUGAUUUCCCGAAACUAAGUGAGCUACUCCAAGACAGCCUAAAAACAAGGGCCAACCCGUCUCUGUGGCAAAAGAGUGGGACGAUCUUAGAGUAGUGGUGACAGACCUACCGAACUUAGUUAUAGCUGGUUGUCUGAGAAAUGAAUAGAAGUUCAGCUUUUUGGUUUCUUCCUCCCAACCUACUUUAGCCACAGCUGAUUCAAAGAAAUCAAAAAAGUUAAUUAAAGGGGGUACAGCCCCUUUAAACCAAGAUACAACUUCCUUAGAAAGGUAAAGAUCACAAUCAUCAAGGCAAAAUGUUCUAGUGGGCCUAAAAGCAGCCACCUACAAGAAAGCGUUAAAGCUCAGACAUAUCUACCAACCUACAAUUUAGAUAAACCAUCUAAGCCUACUAAUAUUACCAGACCGCCCCAUGCUGGCAUGGGGGUGAUUAUGCUAAUAUGAGUAAUAAGAAAGAUUAGUCUUUCUCCUUGCACCUGUGUAAAUCGAAACGGACUAACCAUCGAGCGUUACCGGCCCCAAUAAAAGAGGGAAAUGAGUCACAAGCCUACAAACAAGAAAAACACCCAAAAAAAACCGUUAACCCCACACUGGUGUGCUUACAAGGAAAGAUUUAAAGGAAAAGAAGGAACUCGGCAAACCUAAGCCUCGCCUGUUUACCAAAAACAUCGCCUCUUGCAAACAUAGUAUAAGAGGUCC
RNAcentral lists this ribosomal RNA (924 nucleotides) under Betta unimaculata (Howong betta). RNAcentral describes it as "partial 16S ribosomal RNA". The stretch from base 154 to 924 matches the Rfam family "Bacterial large subunit ribosomal RNA", at positions 568 to 1846 of the family's 2925-position model. Lineage: Eukaryota; Metazoa; Chordata; Actinopteri; Anabantiformes; Osphronemidae. The record is from RNAcentral.